UACGUAGGGUGCGAGCGUUAAUCGGAAUUACUGGGCGUAAAGCGUGCGCAGGCGGUUUUGUAAGCCCGAUGUGAAAUCCCCGGGCUUAACCUGGGAAUGGCAUUUGGGACUGCAAGGCUCGAGUGCGGCAGAGGAGACUGGAAUUCCUGGUGUAGCAGUGAAAUGCGUAGAUAUCAGGAGGAAUACCGAUGGCGAAGGCAGGUCUCUGGGCUGACACUGACGCUCAUGCACGAAAGCGUGGGGAGCAAACAGG
This 253-nucleotide ribosomal RNA is filed under the name uncultured bacterium. RNAcentral describes it as "partial 16S ribosomal RNA". It matches the Rfam family "Bacterial small subunit ribosomal RNA", at positions 524 to 776 of the family's 1533-position model. The record is from RNAcentral.